AACGUAGGAGACAAACGUUAUCCGGAGUUACUGGGCGUAAAGGGCGUGUAGGCGGUUAGUUAAGUCUGGCGUGAAAGCUCUCGGCUAAACCGGGAGAGGUCGUUGGAUACUGGCUGACUAGAGGACGGUAGAGGCGUGUGGAAUUCCGGGUGUAGCGGUGAAAUGCGUAGAGAUCCGGAGGAACACCAGUGGCGAAGGCGACACGCUGGGCCGUACCUGACGCUAAAGCGCGACAGCAUGGGGAGCAAACGGG
This 253-nucleotide ribosomal RNA is filed under the name uncultured bacterium. Its description in RNAcentral is "partial 16S ribosomal RNA". It matches the Rfam family "Bacterial small subunit ribosomal RNA", at positions 524 to 776 of the family's 1533-position model. The record is from RNAcentral.